GGCCGACUAGCUCAGCUGGUUAGAGCGUCGUGCUAAUAUCACUCCCUCUUUAGGUCUGGUUAUUACGCGAAGGUCUUGGGUUCGAUCCCCACGUUGGCCA
Tephrocybe rancida is the source of this 100-nucleotide non-coding RNA. NCBI's taxonomy places the organism in Eukaryota, Fungi, Basidiomycota, Agaricomycetes, Agaricales, Lyophyllaceae. The record is from the annotation of a GenBank genome assembly.